CGUGUAGGCGGUUUGAUAAGUUGGACGUGAAAGCUCCUGGCUCAACUGGGAGAGGUCGUUCAAUACUGUCAGACUUGAGGAUGGUAGAGGGAGGUGGAAUUCCGGGUGUAGUGGUGAAAUGCGCAGAUAUCCGGAGGAACACCAGUGGCGAAAGCGGCCUCCUGGACCAGUCCUGACGCUCAGACGCGAAAGCUAGGGUAGCAAACAGGAUUAGAUACCCUGGUAGUCC
This 229-nucleotide ribosomal RNA is filed under the name uncultured bacterium. RNAcentral describes it as "partial 16S ribosomal RNA". It matches the Rfam family "Bacterial small subunit ribosomal RNA", at positions 568 to 796 of the family's 1533-position model. The record is from RNAcentral.